UACGUAGGCAGCGAGCGUUGUUCGGAGUUACUGGGCGUAAAGAGCGCGCAGGCGGUCGUGCAAGUCGCGUGUGAAAGCCCCCGGCUCAACUGGGGAGGGUCACGCGAUACUGCUCGACUCGAAGGCAGGAGAGGGAAGUGGAAUUCCCGGUGUAGUGGUGAAAUGCGUAGAUAUCGGGAGGAACACCAGUGGCGAAGGCGGUUGCCUGGGGCUUUGCUGACGCUGAUGCGCGAAAGCGUGGGGAGCGAUCCGG
RNAcentral lists this ribosomal RNA (253 nucleotides) under uncultured bacterium. RNAcentral describes it as "partial 16S ribosomal RNA". It matches the Rfam family "Bacterial small subunit ribosomal RNA", at positions 524 to 776 of the family's 1533-position model. The record is from RNAcentral.